AUACGCAAAACAUUCGUAUUUCAUUUAAAAUAAUUUAUUUGUAAUGACGAGAAUCAAAAAUGCGUAAACUAUACCAAGUGUAUAUUGUUGCUCGCUGCUCGAAUACAAACUCGCAUCCGGUUAUUUCAUAUAAGAUUGUACAACGUACCGAGGCGUUUGCCAGAAAAAAAUAGGAUCACCCGGACGAUAUUUUGCAGAACCACCGAAUGAGUAUACAAGAGUAAGAGGCGAAACCUCACAAAUGAGACACGAGAAGUUCCUGGCGAACUGAAUAUACAUCCUUCUAUAGAAUUCUUCGUGCCGAGAUGUAUGAAAUCACGACAACUGUGAGAUACGGUGUUACACGGGGGGGAAAUAUCAAAUGCCCCGCUACUUAAUCUCGGGCAGUGACGCUGUGUGACAAAAGCGUGUACGAAAUGUUUAGCUGAUCAAGCAUAAAAGGGAGACACAUCAAAUAUUUAUUUUUCACUAUAUGCAUCUGAGACUUGACUUUGGAUUACAACCGCGCUUAGGCUCCAUCGCGAAAAUACGCACAUGAACUUCCGAGCUCAGCUUACGCGCGUCGAGUAUCGCGGAAAGGAUUUGGAAGCUGUUUAAAGGGAAUGUUGUGAUGAUAAAAGUGAA
This is a long non-coding RNA of Cyphomyrmex costatus, 624 nucleotides long. RefSeq lists it as uncharacterized. The transcript is spliced from 2 exons. The record is from RefSeq and is a predicted model, not a curated record. NCBI's taxonomy places the organism in Eukaryota, Metazoa, Arthropoda, Insecta, Hymenoptera, Formicidae.